GAAUUUAACAAGUUUGAAUGAUUUUUCUCCUAAAAUAACUCAAGUGAGGAAAAGAGGAGUAUUAUACAUUGACCUCCUCAAAACCCUAACAUCUGCUGCACUGGGCUGAAAUCUUGAACAAUAAACAAGAGUGAAAUUUAGGAAACAAAAUGCUUUUGGAAGCUUUGACCACAAUCAAGGGGUUGCUUUAAUCUUGCUUGCAUUGACCGUAAGCAAGAAUGUCCAGGCCUCAGCAAAAUCAUGGUGUGCUGGGAGUUGACGAAGGCCAUGGAGGAACAGGUUGGAAAUAAAGCGAUGCCUGUACUCCCACCACUUGAGAAAAAGCAGUGGCAGAAU
Leptonychotes weddellii (Weddell seal) is the source of this 336-nucleotide non-coding RNA. The record is from RefSeq and is a predicted model, not a curated record. NCBI's taxonomy places the organism in Eukaryota, Metazoa, Chordata, Mammalia, Carnivora, Phocidae.